AAAGGGUCCGUAGGCGGACUCGUAAGUCAGUGGUGAAAUCUCAUAGCUUAACUAUGAAACUGCCAUUGAUACUGCGGGUCUUGAGUAAGGUAGAGGUAGCUGGAAUAAGUAGUGUAGCGGUGAAAUGCAUAGAUAUUACUUAGAACACCAAUUGCGAAGGCAGGUUACCAUGUCUUAACUGACGCUGAUGGACGAAAGCGUGGGGAGCGAACAGGAUUAGAUACCCGUGU
Molecule: ribosomal RNA, 230 nt
Filed under: uncultured bacterium
Lineage: Bacteria
Description: partial 16S ribosomal RNA
Rfam family: Bacterial small subunit ribosomal RNA
Source: RNAcentral